GACGAACGCUGGCGGCGUGCUUAACACAUGCAAGUCGAACGGUGAAGCGCCUUCCUUUUUGGUGGGUGUGGAUGAGUGGCGAACGGGUGAGUAACACGUGAGUAACCUGCCCCCUUCUUCUGGAUAACCGCAUGAAAGUGUGGCUAAUACGGGAUAUUCUGGGUCUGUCGCAUGAUGGGUCUGGGAAGGAUAUUGUUUCGGUGGGGGAUGGGCUCGCGGCCUAUCAGCUUGUUGGUGGGGUGAUGGCCUACCAAGGCGGUGACGGGUAGCCGGCCUGAGAGGGUGGGCGGUCACACUGGGACUGAGACACCGCCCAGACUCCUACGGGAGGCAGCAGUGGGGAAUAUUGCACAGUGGGCGCAAGCCUGAUGCAGCGACGCCGCGGGAGGGAUGGAGGCCUGCGGGUUGUGAACCUCUUUCGCCAGUGAAGCAGGCCUGCCUCGUUUGUGGGUGGGUUGACGGUAGCUGGAUAAGAAGCGCCGGCUAACUACGUG
Molecule: ribosomal RNA, 494 nt
Filed under: uncultured bacterium
Lineage: Bacteria
Description: partial 16S ribosomal RNA
Rfam family: Bacterial small subunit ribosomal RNA
Source: RNAcentral